UACGUAGGGGGCAAGCGUUGUCCGGAAUUAUUGGGCGUAAAGAGCGUGUAGGCGGCUCGGUAAGUCUGCUGUGAAAGUCCAAGGCUCAACCUUGGAAUGCCGGUGGAUACUGUCGAGCUCGAGUCCGGAAGAGGCGAGUGGAAUUCCUGGUGUAGCGGUGAAAUGCGCAGAUAUCAGGAGGAACACGAAUGGCGAAGGCAGCUCGCUGGGACGGUACUGACGCUGAGACGCGAAAGCGUGGGGAGCAAACAGG
Molecule: ribosomal RNA, 253 nt
Filed under: uncultured bacterium
Lineage: Bacteria
Description: partial 16S ribosomal RNA
Rfam family: Bacterial small subunit ribosomal RNA
Source: RNAcentral